ACGCUCGACACCUACGGGAGGCAGCAGUGGGGAAUAUUGGGCAAUGGGCGAAAGCCUGACCCAGCAACGCCGCGUGAAGGAAGAAGGCUUUCGGGUUGUAAACUUCUUUUAUCAGGGACGAAGGAUGUGACGGUACCUGAUGAAUAAGCCACGGCUAACUACGUGUCAGCGGCCGCGGUAAUCUGAGCGGGCUGGCAAGGC
RNAcentral lists this ribosomal RNA (201 nucleotides) under uncultured bacterium. Its description in RNAcentral is "partial 16S ribosomal RNA". It matches the Rfam family "Bacterial small subunit ribosomal RNA", at positions 328 to 539 of the family's 1533-position model. The record is from RNAcentral.